CCUGGUUGGAUUUUUCUCAGGUUUUUGCCUGCCAUAUGAGUUCUGUUAUACUCACAGACAUCAUUCAAACAGUAGUAAUACUAAUAAUAUGCAUAUCCUACCUUCUGAGUCUGAGUAGGAGGCAGUUUAAUUUGGGUACGUUUUUCAUCCGGCUGUGAAAAUACUGCCCCCUAUAGUGAAGAGGAUAAGGACUUGCAGCGAGUUGUGAACUUCAUCAACAACUAUGCAUAGGAAAAUGCAAUAGUAUUACGAGAAUGCCACCCUUGACACAAACACUUUGGUGGAAAGUGUCUCUACAAGGACACUUGAUAAACACUUGGUAUGUAAAGCAUGAACAACACACAUUUUGAUUAUUUUAUUUACUUCCAACAUAAAUUGCCACAACAUUUAUUGAUCUCACAUUAUUUUUGUGUUUUUCAGAGGUAUGUGUAGUCUAGCUGUCUUCCUUCAGGAAUCUGUGGAGAGAAUUGCUGCCCCACAUCUUAAGCACUAAGCCUAGGACAGACCUGUGUUGGCAGUGCGGGAAGAAAAACUAUCAGGUCUUCAGAUCUGCCAAUCUGCCAGAAGCUGUUAAAUCAGCCAAGCUGAAGAAGGAAGAGCAACAUCUCCUGCUUGUUCAGAGUGAGUGCUCUGUCUACCAGAAGAUGGAUGCUGACUGCAAGACCACCUGUCAAGACCUGCAGCUGUCUCUGGGGGGCUAUACUGAACCAGCAAGCUGAUUUUGCUCAGCAAGACCUGAGCCCUUGGACCAUGCCUCAGGACUACCUGGCAUGAUGACUCCUUGCUGUCCCCAGUCCACCUGGCCAUGCUGCUGCUCCAGUUUCAACUGUUCUGCCUGCGGCUAUGGAACCCUGACCUGUUCACCAGAUGUGCUACCUGUCCCAG
This 885-nucleotide long non-coding RNA is filed under the name Salmo salar (Atlantic salmon). RNAcentral's name for it is "lncRNA (ENSSSAG00000109735.1)". The record is from RNAcentral. Lineage: Eukaryota; Metazoa; Chordata; Actinopteri; Salmoniformes; Salmonidae.